Camellia sinensis is the source of this 175-nucleotide non-coding RNA. NCBI's taxonomy places the organism in Eukaryota, Viridiplantae, Streptophyta, Magnoliopsida, Ericales, Theaceae. The record is from RefSeq and is a predicted model, not a curated record.
UAGGUGUUUAUGAUGCAUUGCAGAAGAAAUACCUAAGGACACUGUUGUUCUGUGUUUGUAAAGGAGUGGAAGGUUCAAUGAUUGAGGAAUAUGCAUUUACUCUAAUUCUGAAAGCCAAGAGGUUUCAAUGAAGAUCAAUUGCACUGUGAUUGAUGAUGCCACUGGUGCUAGAAAG